This is a non-coding RNA of Otolemur garnettii (small-eared galago), 293 nucleotides long. The record is from Rfam. NCBI's taxonomy places the organism in Eukaryota, Metazoa, Chordata, Mammalia, Primates, Galagidae.
GCCUGACAUGGUGGCACACAUGUCUAGUCUCAGCUCCAACUCUGGAGGUUGGAGUAGGAUGAUGGCUUGAGCCCUGGGCUGUAAUGUGCUGUGCCGAUCAGGUGUCCGCAGUAAGUUCAGCAUCAUUACGGCAAUCUCUCGGGAGCAGAGGACACCAGGUUUCCUAAGGAGGGGUGAAUCUGCCUAGGUGAGAAACAGGCACAGGCCAAAACUCCCAUGCUGAUCAGCAGUGAUAUCACAACUGUGAAAAGCCACUGUACCAGCCUGGGGAACAUAGCACAACUUUGUCUCGU